GGGGGGUUAGGGGUUAUGGGGCUAUAGGGCGGGGUUAGGGGGUGGGGGGUUUGUGGGGUGGGGGGGUUGGGGGGGUUAUGGGGCUAUAGGGUGGGGUUAUGGGGUGGGGGGGUUAUGGGGGUGGGUUGUGGGGGGGGUUAUGGGGCUAUAGGGUAGGGUUAUGGGGUGUUAUGGGGUGCUAUGGGGUGGUUAUGGAGUGGUUAUGGGGUGCUAUGGGGUGGCUAUGGGGGGGUUAUGGGGUUAUGGGGUGGAUAUGUGGUGGCGAUGGGGUGGAUAUGGGGUUCUGAUGGGGUUAUGGGGUGGCUAUGGGGGGGUUAUAGGGUGGUUAUGGGGUGGUGAUGGGGUUAUGGGGUGGUUAUGGGGUGAUGGAGCGGGGUUAUGGGGCUAUAGGGUGGGAUUAUGGGGUUAUGGGUGGGGUUAUGGGGUGGUUAUGGCGUGGUUAUGGGGUGAUGGAGUGGAGUUAUGGGGCUAUAGGGUGGGGUUAUGGGGUUAUGGGGUUAUGGGGUGGCUAUAGGGGCGGUGAUGGGGUGGUGAUGGGUUGAUGGAAUGGGGUUAUGGGGCUAUAGGGUGGGGUUAUGGGGUGGUUAUGGGGUGAUGGAGUGGGGUUAUGGGGUUGUGGGGUGGUUAUGGGGCUGCUUAUGGGGUUGUGGGGCUGAGUUGUGCAGCAGAGCCUCCCAGGGCCAUCUGUGGGGCAGAUCUAUGGGGCAGAGCCCCCUCAGUGCCAUCUAUGGGGCAGAUCUAUGGGGCAGAGCCCCCCCAGUGAAAUCUAUGGGGCAGAUCUAUGGGGCAGAGCCAUACCUGUGCCAUCUAUGGGGCAGAGCCCCCCCAGUGCCGUCUAUGGGGCAGAUCUAUGGGGCGAAUCUAUGGGGUACAGCCUCCCCAGUGAAAUCUAUGGGGCAGAGCCUCCUCAGUUACCAUCUAGGAAGCGGAUCUAUGGGGCAGAGCCCCCCCAGUGAAAUCUAUGGGGCAGAUCUAUGGGGCAGAGCCAUACCUGGCGGAUCUAUGGGGCAGAGCCCCCCCAGUGUCAUCUAUGGGGCAGAUCUAUGGGGCAGA
RNAcentral lists this long non-coding RNA (1053 nucleotides) under Gallus gallus (chicken). Its description in RNAcentral is "lncRNA (ENSGALG00010000478.1)". Lineage: Eukaryota; Metazoa; Chordata; Aves; Galliformes; Phasianidae. The record is from RNAcentral.